UGGAGCGCGCAUGCGCUGUGGUGCGGCGCUGUGGUGUGGCGCGGUAGCGCGCCAGGCUGGCCUCCGUGGUGAAGGAGCGGAGAAGUUCGGGCAACAGAUGGUUUCCUGUCUGAGGAUCACAGCAUUCCCGGGCAUCAGCCCUGAACACACCUCUGCCUCAGCAUUUCCAGCGGUGGGUGAGGAGGACCACAGAUCGUUCAGCCUGGCAAGCCACACCGGUCUUAGUUCUGAGGGAAGGAAUGCUUCCACCAGGUCACACAACAAUGACUUCAUUGAACUGGACGACAAGACAAACACCUAGUCAUUGCAGGCUUUGCAUGCCUCUGAGUGAACAGGUGAAAGCCAGAGGAUGCAGCAUCAGCCCUUCCUGCGCUUUGUAGCAGAGUCACAUCAGUCACAUAGACCUGCCUAGUGCUCCGCCCCGGAAAUAUUCUUCAACUCAACAAAGACC
Chlorocebus sabaeus (green monkey) is the source of this 451-nucleotide long non-coding RNA. RefSeq lists it as uncharacterized. NCBI's taxonomy places the organism in Eukaryota, Metazoa, Chordata, Mammalia, Primates, Cercopithecidae. The record is from RefSeq and is a predicted model, not a curated record.